AUCAGUUUUCUUCUCCUUCAACCACUCGAGCGAACGCCGGAUAGCUAGGGUUUCGGCCAUGUGAGCUGAUUGAGCUCGGAUUUUCUGCACAAAACCAGCGGUACACACCCCAUCAGCUCCUCUAUAGAUGCCGGCUAUGGAUCCCUCCGAUCUGCUCUCCUACCAUGAACAGUCCACGUUAAUCUUCCACGCGCCCGGAUCUGGA
Molecule: long non-coding RNA, 205 nt
Filed under: Eucalyptus grandis
Lineage: Eukaryota; Viridiplantae; Streptophyta; Magnoliopsida; Myrtales; Myrtaceae
Description: long non-coding RNA (EGRA_LNC002646)
Source: RNAcentral